CCUAAUGUUCUAAAUUUCAAUUUGGAUAAAACAAGAUGAGCGAAAAACCCAAAACCCUAUUAGUCCGUUCUCCAACAAACCCUACGGGCUAGUAAACCUCCCAACAAGAAGAAAACACUUAGAGCUCCUUUCCCUCCAACUUUCGUCCCAUUGGGCGACCCUGCGGUAAUAUUUAGACCGUUGGAUCAAAUCACUUAAAUAUCUCACUGUAAGCUACACAUUGUGCCUUUUUCUUCUCUGAAUUCAAACAAACUUGGGCAUUUUCAAAAGAUUCGCAUGUUCUAGCGCUGAAAAAAUCCUUCAAAGCUUCUCCUGGUCGUGGCUUCAAAGAGCCAUCAUACAAGAGCCCCAGAGUUGAUUUGUUGAAAGACACUAUGCAAAAUUUUAGUGAUGUACUUGCUAAGAGUUAUAAGGGCAAGAAAAGGUAGGUUCUAUAAUGUCAAAUGGGUGCUUUGAUAAGAUACGCUGAUCAACUUCUUUGUGGACUCCAAGAGUGGCAUCGCCCUCCUCCAAUUUGUGGAUACAUUUGAUAGAGUUAAAUUAGUGCAGAUGCUUCUGGUCGAGGUUGGGCUACAACGUGUGGUUCAUUUUAUCAUAGAUAAUGUAGCUUUCAUGGAGAAAUACUCUACAUUGUUUUGGAGAUUGUGCACAUCAUGUUGUCUUGAUUGACAAGAUAUUGGUAGCCUCCCAUAGGUUAAAUUUGCAAUAGAGAGGGAGAGAUCUAUCACUAAGUUCAUAUAUAUUCACGACGAGAUAUUGGUAGCCUUCCAUAGGUUAAAUCUGCAAUAGAGAGGGAAAGAUCUAUCACUAAGUUCAUAUAUAUUCACGCUAAUGUGAGUGAAAUGAUGAGAUCCUUUACCGAGGGAAAAGGGCUUGUUCAACCAGGUGUGACUAGAUUUGCACUCUCUUGUACUGAAGAAUCUAUGUGCACAGAAGAUGAACUCUGAAACAUAUGUUUGUUUCAUUGGAUCAGGUUGAGUCCUCUAGCUUUUCCAAUCACACAUAUGGUACCACCUUUGUACUCCUUGGUUUUUAUUUGUUGUGGAUAGAUGCCCAUGAAAUUGUGUAGAUCUAAGAGUUUGUGGUUGAAUUUCUGAGAUUGAUUGAUGGGGAAAAAUCCCCCACGGGAUUUUUUUUGAGGCCUUAUAUGGUCAAAAUGAGGCAAGAAGGUCCAGAAUGAAUAAUGGUCAGAAUAGGUAGUUGAGAGAUUAUUGAUGUUAGAUGGGAUCAACAAAUGCAUUGUUACUUUCAUGUUGCUGGAUACUGUCAUUGACACAUUCAAAGAUGAUGUAGAGGUGACACAAAGCCUAUUUAAAUAAAUUACAAUUUUUUUGUCUGAUGCAAACGAUUGACAAGCAGCUAUUGCAGGGGUGCAUAUGUUUUUUUUGACAUUAAUGUUGUAAACUCAAGGAAGACAUCAAAACUGGAUAUUAAAUUUUAAUCCAAUGAUUUGCAAUCAAGUUUCAGCAUUUAUCAUUUUGUUUAGUGAAAACAUGAAAUACUUGAUGAAUUUAUUAAUAAAUUUUGCUUUUGUAACUAAUAAUCUCAUAACAAUGAUGGGACUACUUUGGCAGAGAAACUAAAUUGCUUUAGUGGAUGGUAAUAAGUAUUCUAAGCCAACCAUACAGCUCUUCAUUCUUGGAGUGCAUUUGAACAUGCCCAAAAAACACAACCACCUGAGCUAACAAUGGAUGAAUAAUUUGGCAUUCACUCACCACAGCCUUUCUCUUCAGAUUAAGAAAAUUUAAGGUUAGAAACGUAGAAGUUACUAAGUUAACUAUUAAAUAUUGCUAAAAUUUAAUAAAGUUUAAUCUAACUUUCCUAUUUUACAUUCUAAGAACUUUAAGUUCAAACAAUUUGAAUUUCUAACAUACAUUAAUAGGCAACAAUUUAUACCUUGCAAAUAUUAGGUAGGUUUGAAGAUGAUCAACCAAUCGAUAUCAACAAGAGAGGUUCCAAAUUAGAAUGGAUCACCACCCAAUCGCCAAUGAAGAGCCAUCAUUUGACGAUGAGGAUUUGGCCAUCUUGAGUGAGGCAUUUGGUGAUCAAGACUGUAGUUGAAGGGAUGAGAACCAUGAUGCAAGGGUAUCUACUUUACAUUCUGUAGUCUAAGAGCCUCAUAAGUUGUGUUUUUUAGUUUGUCCUCCUAAGAAUUUGUAAGUAAUUGGCAACAUUAAAUAUUUAUGCUUUAUGUUUGUUAACGUUUCUAUGAACCAUAUUUUGCAUUAAUUAACAAUAAUAAUUGUUUCUUCUCUUCUGUAUUUUUGGGAAUAUUUCAACAAUUUUCAAUUUUCUUGGGUUUUCUGGUUUUAUACCCAAGUAAUUGAAUUUCAUUUACACUUUCAGUUUGCUGUGUCAAUGUUGGAUAAGUGGAACGCUACCAUGUAUAUAUGUAUUUUUUAUAUGUAUAUAGGUUUAUAAAUAUAGACAUUCCGACAUAAACAAAUAAUUAAAUAAAUAAAUAGAAAUGCCAAAUACUUAAUUUGAGUGAUUAGAUAAUGUCCAGGAAACAUUUCACAGGUUCUAAUGGUUUCAGGCUUUUUUUUAGGUGGAUUGUUGCUUGAUGUUAUAUUUUCGAAGUAAACUAUUUCUUUUGAUACCAGUAUUUUUGUGAACAAAUUCCUUGCCUUUGGUAGCUGAGGUUUUAUAAUAUGGAGUUUUGACCUGGGUUCACUUGAAAUUCAGUUUCCCAAUGGUUGAGGCUUUUGGAUUGUUGAAUUUAGAGAGUUUAUAGCGAGCACAUAGGAUAAACAGGGAACCAUACGAGAGGUUUUCUAUAUGGAGAGAGAGGCAUGUAGGUAAUUGCCUACAAAUGGUUGUAUAGGUUCUCUGAGUCUCAGAGAUUUUUUCCUUUAAUUGGUAAGUUUUGGUGAGAUUUCUAUUCUUUUGGGAAUAAGGCAACAAUUUUUUUGAUUUUAGUAGCUCAUGUCUGGGUAUGGGGUUCCUGCCAAGGGUUCUUGAGAAUGCAAUGUCUCAACUCCUGAGGCUGUGGAUUGCUGAACAUGAUUAUUCAUUUUCUAUUUCUUCCUGGUUACUUUUAUUUCAUUUAUUUGGGAAUUCAAUUUGCCAACGAUCAAAGGUGGUUGGUGGUGAAUGUAGAGAGCUUAUAGAGACUACGUAAUCUAAACAGGAUCCGCUAAGAGCAAUAUUUUUAAUGUGCUAAUUCUUUCUGAUUAUCGUUGAAGAGACCAUGUUUUGUUAUGAUGUGCAUUGUUUUUGCUUCAGUGUUCUUCAAGGAAUCUACAUCUAUCUUCAUCUUCUCUUAUUGGUUACUGCUGAAUAUACCGAAUUCUGUCAGUAGGUACUUUGUUUUUCUUUCAGUUUGGUUCUUGAAGGAUCUUGCAUCUUUUUUCCAUGAUUCUGUAUGAACCUCAUUAUUUAGUAAGCAUUCAAGUGCAUCUAUUUUAUUAAUGUUGUGCACUGGUUCUAUUUUUGCUGCUCAUGAUGCUUUAGCUUGAACUGACUUCAUAUGCUAAAGAAGCUUGGUAGAGCGUUUUUUCUUAUUGUGCUAUUUAUUUCUGAUUACUGUUUGAAGAUUCAAGUUUUCUAUGUAUUUUGUCUAAGUUACCAGGGUUGCCCUUGGACCCCCCUGGUACCGGUCCUGGUUCGAACGGGUUCCUGGUUCGGGUUCGGUUCGGACUGGGUUAGACCAGGGUUCGAAAAACCCAGAGCUGGUUCGUCCCUGGUCGAACCCAGUUCGAACCCGGGUGGCUGGGUGGCCCAAAAAAGCAAAUUAUAUGCAAAAUUUAAUUUUUUUUUGAAUUCUGCCUGCUAAAAAGUGAAACUUAUACCCUAAAAGUGAUUUCUAAAACAUUAUAUUCACUCAUUUCACCUCAUUUGUGUUGCAAACAAAAGUUUUGUGAGAGCAGGUUGAAAAAAGGGUGAACAAAAUUUGGUAUCAUUUUGUUGAAAGUGUUAUGAGAGCAGGUUGAGAGCAAGGAUUAAACUUUAUAUUGAGAGCAGGUUGAAGAAAGGAUUAAACUUUAUAUUGUUG
Molecule: RNA transcript, 3994 nt
Organism: Cryptomeria japonica (Japanese cedar)
Lineage: Eukaryota; Viridiplantae; Streptophyta; Pinopsida; Cupressales; Cupressaceae
Exons: 2
Source: RefSeq, a predicted model, not a curated record